GAUGAACGCUGGCGGCGUGCUUAACACAUGCAAGUCGAACGAUGAAGCCCAGCUUGCUGGGUGGGUUAGUGGCGAACGGGUGAGUAACACGUGAGUAACCUGCCCUUGACUCUGGGAUAAGCGCUGGAAACGGCGUCUAAUACAGGAUACGAGCUUCCACCGCAUGGUGAGUUGCUGGAAAGAAUUUCGGUCAAGGAUGGACUCGCGGCCUAUCAGGUAGUUGGUGAGGUAGCGGCUCACCAAGCCGACGACGGGUAGCCGGCCUGAGAGGGUGACCGGCCACACUGGGACUGAGACACGGCCCAGACUCCUACGGGAGGCAGCAGUGGGGAAUAUUGCACAAUGGGCGCAAGCCUGAUGCAGCAACGCCGCGUGAGGGACGAAGGCCUUCGGGUCGUAAACCUCUUUUAGCAGGGAAGAAGCGAAAGUGACGGUACCUGCAGAAAAAGCACCGGCUAACUACGUG
Molecule: ribosomal RNA, 466 nt
Filed under: uncultured bacterium
Lineage: Bacteria
Description: partial 16S ribosomal RNA
Rfam family: Bacterial small subunit ribosomal RNA
Source: RNAcentral